AUUGAACGCUGGCGGCAGGCCUAACACAUGCAAGUCGAACGGUAACAGGAAGCAGCUUGCUGCUUCGCUGACGAGUGGCGGACGGGUGAGUAAUGUCUGGGAAACUGCCUGAUGGAGGGGGAUAACUACUGGAAACGGUAGCUAAUACCGCAUAACGUCGCAAGACCAAAGAGGGGGACCUUCGGGCCUCUUGCCAUCGGAUGUGCCCAGAUGGGAUUAGCUAGUAGGUGGGGUAACGGCUCACCUAGGCGACGAUCCCUAGCUGGUCUGAGAGGAUGACCAGCCACACUGGAACUGAGACACGGUCCAGACUCCUACGGGAGGCAGCAGUGGGGAAUAUUGCACAAUGGGCGCAAGCCUGAUGCAGCCAUGCCGCGUGUAUGAAGAGGGCCUUCGGGUUGUAAAGUACUUUCAGCGGGGAGGAAGGCGACGGGGUUAAUAACCGCGUCGAUUGACGUUACCCGCAGAAGAAGCACCGGCUAACUCCGUGCCAGCAGCCGCGGUAAUACGGAGGGUGCAAGCGUUAAUCGGAAUUACUGGGCGUAAAGCGCACGCAGGCGGUUUGUUAAGUCAGAUGUGAAAUCCCCGGGCUCAACCUGGGAACUGCAUCUGAUACUGGCAAGCUUGAGUCUCGUAGAGGGGGGUAGAAUUCCAGGU
RNAcentral lists this ribosomal RNA (657 nucleotides) under uncultured bacterium. RNAcentral's name for it is "bacterial SSU rRNA". It matches the Rfam family "Bacterial small subunit ribosomal RNA", at positions 28 to 674 of the family's 1533-position model. The record is from RNAcentral.